GAUGAACGCUGGCGGCGUGCCUAAUACAUGCAAGUCGAGCGAACAGACGAGGAGCUUGCUCCUCUGACGUUAGCGGCGGACGGGUGAGUAACACGUGGAUAACCUACCUAUAAGACUGGGAUAACUUCGGGAAACCGGAGCUAAUACCGGAUAAUAUAUUGAACCGCAUGGUUCAAUAGUGAAAGACGGUUUUGCUGUCACUUAUAGAUGGAUCUCGGCCGCAUUAGCUAGUUGGUAAGGUAACGGCUUACCAAGGCAACGAUGCGUAGCCGACCUGAGAGGGUGAUCGGCGACACUGGAACUGAGACACGGUCCAGACGCCUACGGGAGGCAGCAGUAGGGAAUGUUACGCAAUGGGCGAAAGCAUGACGGAGCAACGCCGCGUGAGUGAUGAAGGUCUUCGGAGCGUAAAACUCUGUUAUUAGGGAAGAACAAAUGUGUAAGUAACUAUGCACGUCUUGACGGUACCGAAUCAGAAAGCCACGGCUAACUACGUG
This 497-nucleotide ribosomal RNA is filed under the name uncultured bacterium. Its description in RNAcentral is "partial 16S ribosomal RNA". It matches the Rfam family "Bacterial small subunit ribosomal RNA", at positions 28 to 507 of the family's 1533-position model. The record is from RNAcentral.